AGCGAACGCUGGCGGCAGGCUUAACACAUGCAAGUCGAACGGGCUUCUUCGGAAGUCAGUGGCAGACGGGUGAGUAACACGUGGGAACGUGCCCUUCGGUUCGGAAUAACUCAGGGAAACUUGAGCUAAUACCGGAUACGCCCUUUUGGGGAAAGGUUUACUGCCGAAGGAUCGGCCCGCGUCUGAUUAGCUUGUUGGUGGGGUAACGGCCUACCAAGGCGACGAUCAGUAGCUGGGCUGAGAGGAUGAUCAGCCACACUGGGACUGAGACACGGCCCAGACUCCUACGGGAAGCAGCAGUGGGGAAUAUUGGACAAUGGGCGCAAGCCUGAUCCAGCCAGGCCGGGUGAGUGAUGAAGGCCUUAGGGUUGUAAAGCUCUUUUGUCCGGGACGAUAAUGACGGUACCGGAAGAAUAAGCCCCGGCUAACUUCGUG
RNAcentral lists this ribosomal RNA (435 nucleotides) under uncultured bacterium. RNAcentral's name for it is "partial 16S ribosomal RNA". It matches the Rfam family "Bacterial small subunit ribosomal RNA", at positions 29 to 507 of the family's 1533-position model. The record is from RNAcentral.